This 261-nucleotide ribosomal RNA is filed under the name uncultured prokaryote. RNAcentral's name for it is "partial 16S ribosomal RNA". It matches the Rfam family "Bacterial small subunit ribosomal RNA", at positions 524 to 784 of the family's 1533-position model. The record is from RNAcentral.
UACGUAGGUGGCAAGCGUUGUCCGGAAUCAUUGGGUGUAAAGGGAGCGCAGACGGAACUGCAAGUCUGAUGUGAAAGCCCGGGGCUCAACCGCGGGACUGCAUCGGAUACUGUGGAUCUGGAGUGCCGGAGGGGCAAGCGGAAUUCCUGGUGUAGCGGUGAAAUGCGUAGAUAUCAGGAGGAACACCGGCGGCGAAGGCGGCUUCCUGGUCUGUAACUGACACUGAGGCGCGAAAGCGUGGGGAGCAAACAGGAUUAGAUA